GGAUAACUUAUCUACCACCAAUUUUGCUCCAACUUUUAAUGAUAUCAGUUUUUCUAAAAGCAUAUCGGACUGGAGAGAUGCUUUAAGAAAAUCGUUUUUUUAAGUUUUAUUAUUUUAUCAUUAUAUGACAUAUAUAUCAUAAUAUAUCUGACGGUGGAAGCUGAAUAAUAUUAUUAUAAUUAUUAUUUCUAAUUGUCUAAUUUUUAUUUUCAAAAUUUAGGGGUUCCCAACCUCUUCUAUUGUGUGUCCUUUUUGUAGAUUUUUAAAAAUCUCGCAUUCCCGCUCUUUAAUUUACUAAGUCUACUUACUUAAUCUAACUUAACAACCAAAGCUCGGCAAGUUAGUAAUUUUUUUUCAAUUAGUUAAAGUUAAAUUAGUUUAAUAUAAAAUCUUACUAAAUUAGAAUAUAAAUUAGUUUCUACAAUUUUCCAAAUUUCCAACUUAGAUGUUAGUUAGGUAAACAUAGUAACUUAAGUUAGACGAGAAGUUAGAAGUUAGUU
Cinara cedri is the source of this 500-nucleotide non-coding RNA. The record is from the annotation of a GenBank genome assembly. NCBI's taxonomy places the organism in Eukaryota, Metazoa, Arthropoda, Insecta, Hemiptera, Aphididae.